GUCGAGACAGCAGGCGGCUCAAGUGGACAGCCGGGAUGGCAGAGCGUGCGGCGCUGGAGGAGCUGGUGAAACUUCAGGGAGAGCGCGUGCGAGGCCUCAAGCAGCAGAAGGCCAGCGCCGAGCUGAUCGAGGAGGAGGUGGCGAAACUCCUGAAACUGAAGGCACAGCUGGGUCCUGAUGAAAGCAAACAGAAAUUUGUGCUCAAAACCCCCAAGGGCACAAGAGACUAUAGUCCCCGGCAGAUGGCAGUUCGCGAGAAGGUGUUUGACAUAAUCAUCCGUUGCUUCAAGCGCCACGGUGCAGAAGUCAUUGAUACACCUGUAUUUGAACUAAAGGAAACACUGAUGGGAAAGUAUGGGGAAGACUCCAAGCUUAUCUAUGACCUGAAGGACCAGGGCGGGGAGCUCCUGUCCCUUCGCUAUGACCUCACUGUAUCUUUCUAAACUUGGGCUCUUGAGACUUUGGAUGGAUUGGCACUCACUUGGCUCAGGUUUAAGAAUGGUAGAGUAGGUAGGAUCAAAUACGAGGCCUUUGGCGAUUAGGGGAAUUAUUUCUCUAAACCAGGAGUGGAAAUUUGGCUAAACAGAGCAUACACAUCCUUAGAAAUCUUCUGAAUCCUGAGUGAGACCUCAGCUUGAUGUCAGGGCCCAGUUCCAACUCUACAGUCAUCCCCUGGCUCCAGAAUACCUCUCCCCUGCCCUGUCCAGUGAACAAAAUUCUUCUUAAUGGACUAGCAACACAUUUCCCUUGUCUCCAAGCUACACAGAGAAUCAUCUGCUUAGAAAUCCCAUAUGGGGGCCUUUUUCUGGUCGCCUUUUUCUGGUCUGUGG
This 830-nucleotide small RNA is filed under the name Pan troglodytes (chimpanzee). RNAcentral's name for it is "retained intron". Lineage: Eukaryota; Metazoa; Chordata; Mammalia; Primates; Hominidae. The record is from RNAcentral.